CUUCCUUCAAACCCUACAUGAUACCAACUCCAACCUCUGCUUCUCCCUUGACGAUUACUGCGACUUCGGCCCCAAUUUCUUCUACCGUAAUUGCCCCGGCGUAGUUAGCUCUGCCGAUCGAGAUAGUUUGAGCCGAACCUUUACUCUCCCAGUGCACAUCAAAGAAAGGUGGAAGUGAGACAAUGGACCUGAUUGAUUGCAGAAUAAAAGUUUGGUAGCCAGUGGACAAGCGCCAAAUCAAUUUGUGGGCUGUCUGGAGAUGGAUUACAUGUGGAUGCAAGUCUCAAACCCAUUCAUCAUCUUUUUUUACUUUAUUUAUAUUUUCUAUUUGUCGAACAUGACAUACAAAGAAAAAAUGGGAGAAUCAAAUCAAAAUUUAUAUUUAUAAUUUCCAAAUGUAAAUAUAUAUAUGUAUAUAUUGUUGUGGCUCUGCUGGU
Non-coding RNA from Camellia sinensis, 437 nucleotides. NCBI's taxonomy places the organism in Eukaryota, Viridiplantae, Streptophyta, Magnoliopsida, Ericales, Theaceae. The record is from RefSeq and is a predicted model, not a curated record.